RNAcentral lists this transfer RNA (71 nucleotides) under Candidatus Shapirobacteria bacterium. RNAcentral's name for it is "tRNA-Gly". It matches the Rfam family "tRNA", at positions 1 to 60 of the family's 71-position model. From Rfam's summary of the family: Transfer RNA (tRNA) molecules are approximately 80 nucleotides in length. Lineage: Bacteria; Candidatus Shapironibacteriota. The record is from RNAcentral.
GCGAGAGUAGCUCAAUUGGUGGAGCGUCUCCUUGCCAAGGAGAAGGNNGUGGUGAAAUUGGUAUACACGCC